CAGGCAUGUUGGAGAAGCCUGUGUGGUCACAAUUCAUAUUGAUAUUUAAAUGGCAUCUGGAUGCUGCAUAUUGCAUAUUAGAAACAAAAAAAAUUGGUAAAAUCCCAAUACGAAGAGAGAGAACAAAACAAGCAGAAAAAUUAACCUGAUGGAAGCAAAUAAGAACAAAAGAAAACAAAACCUAUAAGCAAAUAAUACCAUGGGAAAAUAACAGAAGUUUUUGCAUCCAUAAACCAAGGAUAUGGUGCCUCACGCCUGUAAUCCCAGCACUUUAGGAGGCCGAGGCGGGCAGAUCACCUGAGGUCAGGAGUUCGAGAGCAGUCUGGCCAUCAUGGUGAAACCCUGUCUCUACUGAAAAUACAAAAAUUAGCUGGGCAUAGUGGCGGGUGCCUGUAGUCCCAGCUACUCGGGAGUCUGAGGCAGGAGAAUCACUUGAAUGCAGGAGGCAGAGGUUGCAGUGACCUGAGAUCACACCACUGCACUCCAGCCUGGGCAACAGAGUGAGACUCAGUCUAAAAUAAAAAAUAAAAAAUAAAGCCAAGAAAGAACACUUGGAAAUUUAAACUUAGGGAAGCUGAAAUUGAACAUUUUAGUCAAAGAGCUGGGAAGCCAUUUAUCUUCCAGUAAAUGGGGAAAAAAUAGAGAUAAAGAAACAGAACAGGGCUGGGCGCAGUGGCUCAUGCCUGUAAUCCCAGCACUUUGGGAGGCCGAGAUGGGCAGAUCACUGGAGUUCAAGAGUUCGAGACCAGCCUGGCCAGCAUGGUGAAGCCCCGUCUCUACUAAAAAUACAAAAAUUAGCCGGGCGUGGUUGCACACAUAUGUAAUCCCAGCUAGUCGGUAAGCUGAGGCAGGAGAAUCACUUGAACCUGGGAGGCGGAGGUUGCAGUAAGCUGAGAUCAUGCCACUGCACUUUGGCCUGGGCGACAGAGCGAGACUCUGUAUCCAAAGAAUAAAAAAUAAAAAACAGAACAGAAAGGAGAUGAAUGUAGAGGAUCAAUCCAGAAGAUCAAGAAUUAUAGAAAGAGAAAAGAAAAAAAGGAAAGACAGAAAUAUUUUCAAGGCAAAAUACAAGAAAAUUUCCCAGAGGGAUGCAGACUCUCCACAUUGAAAGGCCCUUCUAAGUGUCUAAUAUCGUGAAUAUUUCAGGACAUCAGGAAUAAAAAGGCAAUUGUAAAACUCUGCAGAGCAACCAAUCAUAUUAUGGUUAUUUUUUCGCAAAGAACAGGCCUUUUUACAGUGAGAUAUCAUGAUGGAUUUUAUUCAAAACAGCAGGAUGGGGCAGGGCUUGUCUGCAGGAGUUUAAGUGAUACAAAAUUGGCCAUGUAUUCAUGUUUGAAUCUGCGUGAUGAGAACAUGGGAAUUCAUUAAACUAUUCUGUAU
RNAcentral lists this long non-coding RNA (1380 nucleotides) under Homo sapiens (human). Its description in RNAcentral is "HSALNT0089762". Lineage: Eukaryota; Metazoa; Chordata; Mammalia; Primates; Hominidae. The record is from RNAcentral.